UGGGGAAUAUUGCACAAUGGGCGCAAGCCUGAUGCAGCCAUGCCGCGUGUAUGAAGAAGGCCUUCGGGUUGUAAAGUACUUUCAGCGAGGAGGAAGGCGUUGUGGUUAAUAACCGCAGCGAUUGACGUUACUCGCAGAAGAAGCACCGGCUAACUCCGUGCCAGCAGCCGCGGUAAUACGGAGGGUGCAAGCGUUAAUCGGAAUUACUGGGCGUAAAGCGCACGCAGGCGGUCUGUCAAGUCGGAUGUGAAAUCCCCGGGCUCAACCUGGGAACUGCAUCCGAAACUGGCAGGCUAGAGUCUUGUAGAGGGGGGUAGAAUUCCAGGUGUAGCGGUGAAAUGCGUAGAGAUCUGGAGGAAUACCGGUGGCGAAGGCG
Molecule: ribosomal RNA, 376 nt
Filed under: uncultured bacterium
Lineage: Bacteria
Description: partial 16S ribosomal RNA
Rfam family: Bacterial small subunit ribosomal RNA
Source: RNAcentral